This 497-nucleotide ribosomal RNA is filed under the name uncultured bacterium. RNAcentral's name for it is "partial 16S ribosomal RNA". It matches the Rfam family "Bacterial small subunit ribosomal RNA", at positions 28 to 507 of the family's 1533-position model. The record is from RNAcentral.
GAUGAACGCUGGCGGCGUGCCUAAUACAUGCAAGUCGAGCGAACAGACGAGGAGCUUGCUCCUCUGACGUUAGCGGCGGACGGGUGAGUAACACGUGGAUAACCUACCUAUAAGACUGGGAUAACUUCGGGAAACCGGAGCUAAUACCGGAUAAUAUAUUGAACCGCAUGGUUCAAUAGUGAAAGACGGUUUUGCUGUCACUUAUAGAUGGAUCCGCGCCGCAUUAGCUAGUUGGUAAGGUAACGGCUUACCAAGGCAACGAUGCGUAGCCGACCUGAGAGGAUGAUCGGCCACACUGGAACUGAGACACGGUCCAGACUCCUACGGGAGGCAGCAGUAGGGAAUCUUGCGCAAUGGGCGAAAGCCUGACGGAGCAACGCCGCGUGAGUGAUGAAGGUCUUCGGAUCGUAAAACUCUGUUAUUAGGGAAGAACAAAUGUGUAAGUAACUAUGCACGUCUUGACGGUACCUAAUCAGAAAGCCACGGCUAACUACGUG